GAGUUUGAUCUUGGCUCAGAUUGAACGCUGGCGGCAUGCCUUACACAUGCAAGUCGAACGGCAGCAUGAUCUAGCUUGCUAGAUUGAUGGCGAGUGGCGAACGGGUGAGUAAUACAUCGGAACGUGCCCUGUAGUGGGGGAUAACUAGUCGAAAGAUUAGCUAAUACCGCAUACGACCUGAGGGUGAAAGUGGGGGACCGCAAGGCCUCAUGCUAUAGGAGCGGCCGAUGUCUGAUUAGCUAGUUGGUGGGGUAAAGGCCCACCAAGGCGACGAUCAGUAGCUGGUCUGAGAGGACGAUCAGCCACACUGGGACUGAGACACGGCCCAGACUCCUACGGGAGGCAGCAGGUGGGGAAUUUUGGACAAUGGGCGAAAGCCUGAUCCAGCAAUGCCGCGUGUGUGAAGAAGGCCUCGG
Molecule: ribosomal RNA, 416 nt
Filed under: uncultured microorganism
Description: bacterial SSU rRNA
Rfam family: Bacterial small subunit ribosomal RNA
Source: RNAcentral